AGACUAGGGGUGGGCUCGGUUCGGUUCGGUUCGGUUUUGUGAACUUUUUUAAACCGAACCGACCGGUUCGGUUUGGGUUGGGUACAAAACCGAACCGAACCGACCGUUACAUUCAACCCAAACCGAAUCGAACCGAAUGAAUAUUUUUCGGUUUGGGUUGGGUUCACGGGUUGGGCCGGGUUGGGCUUUCUGAUGGGCUUCGGCCCAAAUUUUUUUAUUUUUGGUUUAGACCGGUUUGGGCCUUAUGAUGAGCUUCACUUUCAGCCCAAUUUUUUUUAUUUUUGGUUUGGGCCAGUUUGGACCUCAUGAUGGAUUUCGGCCCAAAUUUUUUUUAUUUUUACUAUUUUGAGAUAUGGGUCGGUUCGGUUUGGAUUGGGUAAAUUUUUUACCCACCCGUAACCCGAACCGAAAACCACGGGUUCAAUCCAUAUGUAACCGAACCGACCCGCUUAACAGUUAAAAACCAACCCAACCCGACCCAAAUAGUUCGGUUCGGGCGGGUUGGUCGGUCCGAGUCGGGUUUUGCCCAGCCCUAACUGAGACAACUAAAACAACAACCUCAUCCAAUUUUCAUUUUGUUUUCACAAAUUUUUAUUUUUUAUUUUUUUGGUUUCUUUCCCAUUUGGAUCCUAAACAGAAUUCGAAGCGGUUAUUAAAAUUUUCCUUUUUCCACAUUUUCUCAACAACCAAACGUACCAUCUAAAGAUUGAAUUCAUCAAAACCAUCAUCGAUUUUUGGUGCAAACUUUGAACUCGAAUCUUCGAGACCGAAAAUGAUGCUGAAUCUUGGAAAAUCUCUCAUUGAGCAAUGAGUUACAGAAGGGGUGCAACCAUUAUAAAUCAGCGAGUAUGCAUAACACAUUAGGGAAUAUAAACGGAUGAAGAUGAUUGUUGGAAUAGUAGUCCAUGGAACCAUGAGGGCAAUAGUGGUUCAUUGGUAACAAAUCAAUAGAAAUAAUUUCCAUUGGAUGGGAAAGAUGGGUGCAUCACUUCACAAGUCUUCGAGAGGACAGGCAAUAGGGUUAAAACCUCCAUACCUUAUGGUAAAAUUUGUUUUCAAUAUCCUUUUAUUCUGCUUUUAUCUUGUGUAUACACUUAUUUAUAUGGUGAAAAUUAGACACUGACUUUUGUAGCUUGAGCAUAUUUCAUUCUAAUAUAAAGAGAAGUCUACCUCUUAUUUUCUACAUGUACUUUUCUCUUAUUUUCUGUUUCUCUUGAUUAUUUAUUAGCAUGCAUUUCUUCCUCCAUAUUCGAAGUACAAUUUGUUUGUACUUUAUGUCUUGUGUCCACUGUCUUCUUAGUGUUUACUCAUUGAAAUUUAUCUUUUAAGCAUAUCUUAGUUAUGUAGCCCUUGUUUGGGAUGUUUGGAUAUGGAGGACCUAUUGCAUCUAUGCAUCUAGGAAGGUAUGAGUUGCACCUUCAUUUGUGUCCUCAUUCUGAUUGAAUAUUCCUAAAUGUUUAGUUUUACCUUUUUUUCAUUUCAUUGUCUUGUCGUAGGCAUGCGCUUGUUUCUUCGAAGACAAAGAAUUCCAAGAAAGUAUAAACGUUACAUCUUGAGAGAGAAGCCUUACUCGGUAGUUCUGAUAGUGAACAUACUUGGAUGAUAGUUAAGUUGCAUACUAGUUUCUUGAUCUAUCAGAGGGCCAUAUUUUUUAAUGCUUUUAUCUGAUUUCUCUUACAUCUUUGCAAUAGAACCACCCAAUGGUUUUCAAUCUCUUGUACUAAUGGACAACUUCAUUUCCAUUUUAGACUGAUGGUGGUAUCAAAAAUCCCUCAAAAGCUGAAAUUAGGGACACACCCCAUGGAAAACUACUCUGUUUCUAUUAUUUUAUACUUUUGGCAUGGUCAAAUUAAGACAGUAUGUGUAUCAAAUAAAUUUAUUAAGAUGUAUACUUUUGUAGGAGCUGUAAUAUUCUCUAGGAGCUGUAAUAUUCUCUAGUUUUUAUUCAUAAAACAUUGUACAAUUUCCUCUUGCUAAUUCAGAUUUUGUUUUUAGUUUUUGUACAUGAUUCUCGUGUCAAUAUGAUGUGUAAGGAUCCAAUUUCAUUAUUAAAUUCUCCAUAUUAUUUGAUAUGUGGAAAAGCAAUAAAUAAGAAAGAUGAUAAUUUAAAUGGAUGGUAA
This is a long non-coding RNA of Ziziphus jujuba (common jujube), 2120 nucleotides long. RefSeq lists it as uncharacterized. The record is from RefSeq and is a predicted model, not a curated record. NCBI's taxonomy places the organism in Eukaryota, Viridiplantae, Streptophyta, Magnoliopsida, Rosales, Rhamnaceae. The transcript is spliced from 2 exons.